GGAUAUGAGGGCGAUCUGGCUGCGCCAUCUGUCCCCCCACUGAUCGCCAGCGUGGACUCGGCUGAUCUGGCUGUCUAGGCGGGUGUCCCCCUCCUCCCUCGCAGCUCCACGGGCGCCCCUCCCGAAGCUGCGCGCUCGGUCGCAGAGGCCGAGCAUCCAUGAUGGAGAAGGACUGUUCUUCGGUUAAGGGUAUACGAGCAGCUGCACUCCCGCUAGAACCUCCCAACAAGCUCCAAAGAUGCCCCAGUGACAUCCCUGGCUUUGGAGGACAGCACCGUGAAGGUGCAGGUUCACACU
Non-coding RNA from Sus scrofa (pig), 297 nucleotides. The record is from Rfam. Lineage: Eukaryota; Metazoa; Chordata; Mammalia; Artiodactyla; Suidae.